Molecule: ribosomal RNA, 438 nt
Filed under: uncultured bacterium
Lineage: Bacteria
Description: partial 16S ribosomal RNA
Rfam family: Bacterial small subunit ribosomal RNA
Source: RNAcentral
CUACGGGCUGCUGCAGUGGGGAAUAUUGCACAAUGGAGGAAACCCUGAUGCAGCAACGCCGCGUGGAGGAUGACGCAUUUCGGUGUGUAAACUCCUUUUAUAUGUCAAGAAAAUGACGGUAGCAUAUGAAUAAGCACCGGCUAACUCCGUGCCAGCAGCCGCGGUAAUACGGAGGGUGCAAGCGUUACUCGGAAUCACUGGCGUAAAGGACGCGUAGGCGGGUUGGAAAGUCAGGUGUGAAAUCCUACAGCUUAACUGUAGAACUGCACUUGAAACUUCUAAUCUAGAGUAUGGGAGGGGGAGAUGGAAUUAGUGGUGUAGGGGUAAAAUCCGUAGAUAUCACUAGGAAUACCUAAAGCGGAGGCGAUCUCCUGGAACAUUACUGACGCUAAGGCGUGAAAGCGUGGGGAGCAAACAGGAUUAGAUACCCCGGUAGUC